RNAcentral lists this ribosomal RNA (306 nucleotides) under Triticum aestivum (bread wheat). RNAcentral's name for it is "partial small subunit ribosomal RNA". Lineage: Eukaryota; Viridiplantae; Streptophyta; Magnoliopsida; Poales; Poaceae. The record is from RNAcentral.
AUGUUCCAACAAUGGGCCUCCUCAAGUGCCCUAGGUCUUCGUGAGCAAGCAAGUUGGAUGCACACCCACUUAGUUUCUUUUGUUGAGCUUUCAUACAUUUAUAGCUCUAGUGCAUCUGUUGCAUGGCAAUCCCUACUCCUUGCAUUAACAUCAAUCAAUGGGCAUCUCCAUAGCUCAUUGAUUAGCCUCGUUGAUGUGAGACUUUCUCCUUUUUGUCUUCUCCACAUAACCCCCAUCAUCAUAUUCUAUUCCACCCAUAGUGCUAUAUCCAUGGCUCGCGCUCAUGUAUUGCGUGAAGGUUUAUAA